This 497-nucleotide ribosomal RNA is filed under the name uncultured bacterium. RNAcentral's name for it is "partial 16S ribosomal RNA". It matches the Rfam family "Bacterial small subunit ribosomal RNA", at positions 28 to 507 of the family's 1533-position model. The record is from RNAcentral.
GAUGAACGCUGGCGGCGUGCCUAAUACAUGCAAGUCGAGCGAACGGACGAGAAGCUUGCUUCUCUGAUGUUAGCGGCGGACGGGUGAGUAACACGUGGAUAACCUACCUAUAAGACUGGGAUAACUUCGGGAAACCGUAGCUAAUACCGGAUAAUAUUUUGAACCGCAUGGUUCAAAAGUGAAAGACGGUCUUGCUGUCACUUAUAGAUGGAUCCGCGCUGCAUUAGCUAGUUGGUAAGGUAACGGCUUACCAAGGCAACGAUGCAUAGCCGACCUGAGAGGGGGAUCGGCCACACGGGAGCGGGAACACGGUCCAGACUCCUACGGGAGGCAGCAGUAGGGAAUCUUCCGCAAUGGGCGAAAGCCUGACGGAGCAACGCCGCGUGAGUGAUGAAGGUCUUCGGAUCGUAAUACUCUGUUAUUAGGGAAGAACAUAUGUGUAAGUAACUGUGCACAUCUUGACGGUACCUAAUCAGAAAGCCACGGCUAACUACGUG